Molecule: ribosomal RNA, 254 nt
Filed under: uncultured bacterium
Lineage: Bacteria
Description: partial 16S ribosomal RNA
Rfam family: Bacterial small subunit ribosomal RNA
Source: RNAcentral
UACGUAGGAUCCGAGCGUUGUCCGGAUUUAUUGGGCGUAAAGAGCUCGUAGGCGGUUCCGUAAGUCAGAUGUGAAAACUCAGGGCUCAACCCGGAGACGCCAUCUGAUACUGCGGUGACUGGAGUCUGGUAGGGGAACACGGAAUUCCUGGUGUAGCGGUGAAAUGCGCAGAUAUCAGGAGGAACACCGAUGGCGAAGGCAGUGUUCUGGGCCAGUACUGACGCUGAGGAGCGAAAGCGUGGGGAGCAAACAGG